RNAcentral lists this ribosomal RNA (550 nucleotides) under uncultured bacterium. Its description in RNAcentral is "bacterial SSU rRNA". It matches the Rfam family "Bacterial small subunit ribosomal RNA", at positions 355 to 896 of the family's 1533-position model. The record is from RNAcentral.
UAGGGAAUCUUCGGCAAUGGGGGGAACCCUGACCGAGCAACGCCGCGUGAGUGAAGAAGGUUUUCGGAUCGUAAAGCUCUGUUGUUAAGGAAGAACGAGUGUGAGAGUGGAAAGUUCACGCUGUGACGGUAUCUUACCAGAAAGGGACGGCUAACUACGUGCCAGCAGCCGCGGUAAUACGUAGGUCCCGAGCGUUAUCCGGAUUUAUUGGGCGUAAAGCGAGCGCAGGCGGUUAGAUAAGUCUGAAGUUAAAGGCUGUGGCUUAACCAUAGUACGCUUUGGAAACUGUUUAACUUGAGUGCAAGAGGGGAGAGUGGAAUUCCAUGUGUAGCGGUGAAAUGCGUAGAUAUAUGGAGGAACACCGGUGGCGAAAGCGGCUCUCUGGCUUGUAACUGACGCUGAGGCUCGAAAGCGUGGGGAGCAAACAGGAUUAGAUACCCUGGUAGUCCACGCCGUAAACGAUGAGUGCUAGGUGUUAGACCCUUUCCGGGGUUUAGUGCCGUAGCUAACGCAUUAAGCACUCCGCCUGGGGAGUACGACCGCAAGGUUG